ACCUCGCGCCUUGCCCCCACCUCCCCAUGGCACUUCACCGGCUGCAGGUGGCCUCCGCGCCCCAUACCGCGCGGAUCUAGCAUGCCCUGCAACCGGCGGCCUUCCACCAAAAGCACCGGAUCCACCGACACGGGCUCUUGCACUACCGUGAAAGAAGCGGAUCCUCCCCUCGUCCUCGACCCGAGCAGCAACACGGAGGUGUUCUUGCGCCGCCCCGUGCGUACCUCCCUUCCCCAGCCCAGAUCCGCCUCCAAGGCGGCCGGAUCCGCCCGAAUGGCGCGCGGCACGGCCACUACCUACCCCCAGUGCGACCUUCUCCCUCCUCACGAGCUCAACCCCUCCCCAAAUUAUUCUCUGCGGCAGCCUACCUUGCAUGGCUUUCCUCGGCAGCCGUCGCACCAGUUCGCUAGCGCAAGGGCGCGUGCAGUUCUGCCCGCGGGGGCGAGCAGUGCACUUGGCUCGUCCCUAUGAAACAGUAGUGACCUUCUCCCUACGACGGGGCGAGGAGAUCCGGCGGUCUCCGACUGUGGUCGAGGUCGUGGCCACCACACGCGUCAACAAUAGCGAGAUUCCACCCCUUGGAUGCACUGCAGUUCAGUUUUGGUGGGCGCCACUGUCCUCUGGCAGGCGUGUGUGCAGUGCGGUCCGGUGGCGGGGUAGCCACCACUGGACUCCGGCGGUCCUCUUCCCGUCACGUGAGUUGGGGCGUCCGUGCAGUGCGCAAGAACUUGAGGACGAUUGACACGCACUUCGGCAGGAGUUUACUUGGUGUGGACAGGAGGUUCUCCAGCUGGCUCAUGCAGCGAGCAGUGCAGGUUGCUCUUCACUGCAGGUCGGUUGGACCAUUGGUGCAGUACCCAAAUCGCUACUGUUUUUGCUGUUGCUCACACACAUCACCGGUGGUUCACCGGAGCACCCCCUCGCAGCUCUCUCCUUCCCCAACAUGCAGUUCACCGGCGACGGCCUUCAGUUCGUUUUGGUUGCUGUCGAUGCCAUCCCCACUGUAGUACAGUGUAUGUGCGUGUUUUGCGUGGUAUCCGGCUGGGGGCCUAUGUUCCUUAACAAUGUAAAAAAUAGCAUGAAAAUGAAGUGCACUUCUGUUGUAUCCAAGUUUCAGUUCCCCCUCAAUAUGAAGGAAAUAUGUCCUAGAGGCAAUAAUAAAGUUAUUAUUUAUUUUCUUAUAUCAUGAUAAAUGUUUAUUAUCCAA
RNAcentral lists this ribosomal RNA (1207 nucleotides) under Triticum aestivum (bread wheat). Its description in RNAcentral is "partial small subunit ribosomal RNA". Lineage: Eukaryota; Viridiplantae; Streptophyta; Magnoliopsida; Poales; Poaceae. The record is from RNAcentral.